AUUAGAAAUUCAGAUAGUCAGUCCGACACCAAAGCACAGUGAGUUGCUUGCAAGUCACUAUGAUGAUCUGAGAUCUGAAGAACACUUAUAACUAUAUAUUUCACGAGCAGUUCUUGACAGCAGAAUGCUCAGUAGGUGAGUUACUUGUUCAGUGAUGAUGUACUCCUACAUCUCAUCUGUAUGCCAUACCAGUGUCACCACACUCCUUGAUUAAGAGGAUAACCAACCCAUAUGGCAC
Molecule: long non-coding RNA, 238 nt
Filed under: Elaeis guineensis (African oil palm)
Lineage: Eukaryota; Viridiplantae; Streptophyta; Magnoliopsida; Arecales; Arecaceae
Description: long non-coding RNA (EGUI_LNC064988)
Source: RNAcentral